Molecule: unclassified non-coding RNA, 253 nt
Filed under: uncultured Alphaproteobacteria bacterium
Lineage: Bacteria; Pseudomonadati; Pseudomonadota; Alphaproteobacteria
Description: contains 16S-23S intergenic spacer region
Rfam family: Bacterial small subunit ribosomal RNA
Source: RNAcentral
UACGAACGGCCCGAGCGUUGCGCGGAAUUACUGGGCGUAAAGGGCACGUAGGCUGGCUGUUAAGUCGGGGGUGAAAUCCUGAGGCUCAACCUCAGAAUUGCCUCCGAUACUGGCGGUCUCGAGUGCGGGAGAGGUGAGUGGAAUUCCCAGUGUAGAGGUGAAAUUCGUAGAUAUUGGGAAGAACACAAGUGGCGAAGGCGGCUCACUGGCCCGCAACUGACGCUGAGGUGCGAAAGCGUGGGGAGCAAACAGG